AUGAAAGUUUCAAAAUGGAAGUUAGGAAUUCUUUGUUUUAUAAGUGGAUGUGUAAUGUCUGGUCAGGUGGAUGCUUGUAUUCCUGAUAGAGUUCCAAUGGGACUCUUAAUCACAGAUUGCCCUUAUCCACAACUGAAAACUCUUGAGAUGCAGAGGACUCUUGCCCUAAAAAUCAUUCUUUCCUUUUCUUUUUUUCUACCCACAGAAGCCCCAAGACAGCAACCUGCUGAACCUGAACCAGCCCCAAGGCAACAAACUAGGAAAAGUAAAGACGCAGAAGAGCCAGGCGACCCACCUGAAGGAGAACCAGGCGAACCACCUGAAGGAGAACCAGGUCCACCACCUGAAGGAGAACCAGGCGAACCACCUGAAGGUAAGUAAUAUCUAUCUCUAAACACUCCUUUCUUUCCCCAUUCCUUGAGGACCCUAGACCUUGCCUCUCAUUUGAAACCAUUUGGCACAUCCACUCUUAAAGUUCAGUACCAAGAGAGAGGGUAAUAAUGAACUAAGAGCAUGGUCAGCUUAAAAGGUUUUGUUUUCUCUUGCCAUUGCAUAGCUCUCAUAUUUCCACCAGAGAAUUUCCCAUAUCAAAAAUCCAAAAUGAUUUUGUCAUCUUUCCCAAAGCAUAGUUUGCUUUUUUCCAUUGCCUAAUAUCCUAGAUCAAACAUUUCAAGAUCACUUUGUAAUACUUAAUAAUGUGCUCUUCCUGUCUCUGCAGCGUGGGUAUUUCUCUCUC
This 736-nucleotide long non-coding RNA is filed under the name Phascolarctos cinereus (koala). RNAcentral describes it as "lncRNA (ENSPCIG00000034089.1)". Lineage: Eukaryota; Metazoa; Chordata; Mammalia; Diprotodontia; Phascolarctidae. The record is from RNAcentral.